Molecule: ribosomal RNA, 491 nt
Filed under: uncultured bacterium
Lineage: Bacteria
Description: bacterial SSU rRNA
Rfam family: Bacterial small subunit ribosomal RNA
Source: RNAcentral
GGCUCAGAUUGAACGCUGGCGGCAUGCCUUACACAUGCAAGUCGAACGGCAGGCACGGGGGCAACCUGGUGGCGAGUGGCGAACGGGUGAGUAAUGCAUCGGAACGUGCCAUUGAGUGGGGGAUAACGUAGCGAAAGUUGCGCUAAUACCGCAUAUUCUGUGAGCAGGAAAGCAGGGGACCGCAAGGCCUUGCGCUCUUUGAGCGGCCGAUGUCAGAUUAGCUAGUUGGUGAGGUAACGGCUUACCAAGGCGACGAUCUGUAGCGGGUCUGAGAGGAUGAUCCGCCACACUGGAACUGAGACACGGUCCAGACUCCUACGGGAGGCAGCAGUGGGGAAUUUUGGACAAUGGGCGCAAGCCCGAUCCAGCCAUGCCGCGUGAGUGAAGAAGGCCUUCGGGUUGUAAAGCUCUUUCAGCAGGAACGAAACGGUGGCCACUAAUACUGGCUACUAAUGACGGUACCUGAAGAAGAAGCACCGGCUAACUACGUG